Molecule: ribosomal RNA, 369 nt
Filed under: Lonepinella koalarum
Lineage: Bacteria; Pseudomonadati; Pseudomonadota; Gammaproteobacteria; Pasteurellales; Pasteurellaceae
Description: partial 23S ribosomal RNA
Rfam family: Bacterial large subunit ribosomal RNA
Source: RNAcentral
AUGGUUAAGUGACUAAGCGUACACGGUGGAUGCCUAGGCAAUCAGAGGCGAAGAAGGACGUGCUAAUCUGCGAAAAGCUUGGAUGAGUUGAUAAGAAGCGUUUAAUCCAAGAUAUCCGAAUGGGGAAACCCAGUAGAUGAAGAAUCUACUAUCGUUAUUUGAAUACAUAGAAUAACGAGGCAAACCGGGAGAACUGAAACAUCUAAGUACCCCGAGGAAAAGAAAUCAACCGAGAUUCCGUGAGUAGCGGCGAGCGAAAGUGGAAGAGCCAGUGAGUAAUAGCAGUAAAAUUAAGAGAAUGAGCUGGGAAGCUCAACCGUAGGGGGUGAUAGUCCCGUAUCUGAAAAUUUUAUUGUGGUACUAAGCUAA